UGCCAGCCGCCGCGGUAACACGGGGGGCGCAAGCGUUAUUCGGAAUUAUUGGGCGUAAAGGGCGCGCAGGCGGUCUUGUCCGUCAGAUGUGAAAGCCCAGGGCUCAACCUUGGAACUGCAUUUAAUACUGCCAGACUUGAGAUCGGAAGAGGAAAGCGGAAUUUCUAGUGUAGAGGUGAAAUUCGUAGAUAUUAGAAGGAACAUCAGAGGCGAAGGCGGCUUUCUGGUCCGAUACUGACGCUGAGGUACGAAAGCGUGGGGAGCAAACAGGAUUAGAUA
RNAcentral lists this ribosomal RNA (279 nucleotides) under uncultured bacterium. RNAcentral's name for it is "partial 16S ribosomal RNA". It matches the Rfam family "Bacterial small subunit ribosomal RNA", at positions 506 to 784 of the family's 1533-position model. The record is from RNAcentral.